Molecule: unclassified non-coding RNA, 2201 nt
Filed under: Hevea brasiliensis (rubber tree)
Lineage: Eukaryota; Viridiplantae; Streptophyta; Magnoliopsida; Malpighiales; Euphorbiaceae
Source: RNAcentral
GUGAUGAUAACGUCAAAACAAUUCAAUUGUUUAGCUCAAGAUUCACAUAUUGAGCUCAUAAAGAAAAAUGAAAAUUAUAAGUUUUCCUGCCAUUAUUUCAUUCUCACAUCACAUCCAACAUGCAGAAAACAAUGAGCAAUGCUUUCCUCCAAAAUUAUUGUGCUGUUUCAGAAAAAAAGAGAACCUCCUCCAAAAUUUGAGAUAUUUUGCCACUGUGGAUUACAUAUCAAUGGCCAAUUGUUGUAUGGUGGCAUCUAAGUUGCCCUCCCAAUGCCAUUGAUCUUCUUUUACUGAUAUAUAAACUCUCUCUAGCUUUGGUGUAUUGAGGACUCCCUUGCAGAAAGUUUGCAUUUGAGGGCAUUGGCUUACAAUUACUUCUUCCAAGGUAGGGAAACUGAAGGACUGACUUCCUGCACAAAAGCUUGUAAGGAUUGGCAAAUAUUGAAGUUUCAAAGACUUGAGUCGAAUGAAAUCAAUGUCAGCAUCUGCCUCGUCUAUCUUGUCUUCUACAAUUCCAGUCAUCAUUUUGCAUUCACUUAUACACAUUAUUGUAAGAUGCACCAUACUUUUAGCAGUUGAGGGAAUUAUCAAAUUUUCCAAUCCAUCACAAUUUGAUAUUUCUAGCGAAGUCAAAUGUCUGAAUGAAACUGAGGCUGGUACUAAAGAUUUCAUGAUGCCACAAUAUGAUAUUUCUAAAGUUUCCAGAUUUUGAAAAACUAUGGUUGGGCAGGAGUUUUCUUUCCACAGAUAUUUCAGCUCAGACAACUUAGACAGCUUCAGUUUUCUUAACCGUGAGAAAAAGAACUCUGCUAGAAACUCACAAUGCCUUGUCUCCAUCAUGACACAGUUAUCCUCCAAUCUCAAUUCCUCCAAGUUCUGGAAUGUAUCCUUUUCAACCAAGAAUAGAGGGUGUGGAUUUGGGAUUUCAAAUUGGCCUGCCCCUUGCCUUUCUUGGAAGAUAUGAUAAUCCAUAGCAACCAUUUCCACUUUAUGACAUCCAUUCACCUCCAUUUUUUUCAGUGAUGGCCAUUCUGAAAUAUGCAACCCUGGAUAGAAACUCCUGAGUUCUGAUAGAGCAUGAAGUUGCAAGUAGGUUACCUGAGGAAACACAAACCUUGCUGCAAUUUCUACUUCUUCUUUGGCAACAAGUUCAUCCACCAUGCAUGAGUCUAUUGCUAUUUCCAGUGUUUCUUCCUUGGCAACGAUUUCCUGCAUGAGUGUAGACUUGAAUAGAUAACAAUCCCCACAGGAUCCUUACUCCAAAUAUGUCUAAGUUUUGGGAGAUGAGAUAAGUAUAAGCUUCUUAACCGAGUGGCUGCCACCGCAUGUGUUUCUUCAACAUUCACAUCUUGCACUUCAAAUACAUUUUCUAGGGAGUCACAAUCAAUUGCUAUCAGUGACUCUAGACUUUUUGAUCUUCUAAAUGUAUUUGAUGGGAAAAGUGCAUGUAGUUUCCCACAGUGCUUAAAUUUCAAUGCCUUUAAUUUGCAAAAGGAAUUUCCAUUGACUUGAUUGUUCCAAAGCAUCUUCACACUAUGCAUGUGGGAGAUUUUCAUUACUUCCAAGGCUGGAAGUGAGACCUUUUCACUGAAGAAAGGCUGUAAAGUAGUGUGGAGACUCUCCUCCAUGUUCAUUCCAUCUAGUUUGAUGCCAACCGUUUUGUCAGCACCUGUAGGGCUGGAAAUGAAUUCCUUUAAUUUUGGGCAAUGUUUUAUGUACAGUUUGUUCAAUGACGGGAACACUACAGAACUUCCCCAGCAGAAUCUGGUGACAUGUGGAAGACCUUUUAGGCUCAGGAAUUCAAGUUGAGGGAAUGACAGUGUACCUACCCAUGCCUCCCCCGUUGUAAUAAAUAUGUCCUUGAUUGCAUUGCAUUUGUGAAUUUCAAGACGUUUGAGUUUAACAAGAUUUACUGAAGCAGAGGAUGAUAACAGAUAUGUCAAAUUAUGACAGCCCUUCACACGCAACAAUGUUAGAUUAUGGAAGCUAGAUCCAGCAGUACUUCUCAGAGUUUGAUCUUGCCAUAACCGUUGAGAGCCAAUUGCAAUGAGAUUCAAAAACUCCAAGUUGGAGAACUCAAUCUUGUCACUGAAAAGUGGUGUGGAAGUAUCUAGCUCAUUCUGCAAAAUUGUUUCUUCAGAACAAAGGUCUUCUGUUGGUGUUUUCUUCCUCCAUGGAGACACGGUUGCCUCUGUCACUUU